UAGAAGUAUAACUUUUGUACAGUUGACAUCAACAUAAGAGCACAAAAAUCAUAAGAGCUUAAUCCUUAAGUAACAAUAAAAUCAACUUCAGUUUGAAGUAUAAAGAUGCACAAUAAUUCCUUAGUUACUCUUCAAUUUCAUCUUUAGAAUAAGAAACAUGUCCGGUUUCUUGACUGUAGUGGCACCAAAUAUCAUCGCCAUCCUUAUCAUGCCUGGUUUCAAGUAGACUAGAUUGAGAGUAAUCUGUACCACCAUAUUGAACAUAAAUUUUUCUAAAAUCUGACAUCAAUAGCAAGAUAUUUAAGGUGUCUCCAUGAUGUACUUAUUGAACUUAAUUCCCCAAUAGCAAGAUAUUUAAGGUGUCUCCAUGAUGUACUUAUUGAACUUAUUCCCCAAUACUUGUUGAACUUAAUUUUCAUCUUGUUCGCUGUCUCCAUGAUGUACUUAUUUGUACUACUCAUAUGCUUGUUGAUCCCUUUCCCAAUGGCGAACACCUCUGCCAUAUACGAAGCACUUGUCACAUACAAAGAACCAGACAAACGAAUUGUGGAUUUAUAAAACAAUUCAAGCAAGGGAAGCACCGAUUCAACAUAGUCCCAAUCUCCAUCUGUUAUUCCAUGCGUUGUUUUCUCUUCCAUUUCUCGACGAAAUGUGACCUCUCGUACGCUUAACUCGUGAAAGGCCUUUCUAUACUUCAAGGCAACCGUCAACAUUGAAUACAUUGAGUUCCAACGAGACCAAUCAUUUUAUAAUUAAGUGUUAUUCAUCGUUUACUGCAACAUAGCCUUAACAAACCAUUUCCAAUCCAUCAAUGAUAUUUGUGCAAACCUACAUUACUCCUAAAACACGCCUCUCAUCACUUAUCAUAAGCCUGCAAUGUGACAAUUUCUGUAAUAUAAUUGAAAAGAAAACAUUGAACCUGCACUUGAUAACAUAGAAAAGUGGCACCAAACUUGCUAAAUUCAAACUAGACUAGCAAUAGCGUCAAAGAAGAACUAGAAAUUGAAGGAAAUGAAAAUGGUGAAUUCAAAAACAAGCAGUGACACACUUAACCCAAAAUCAAUCAUACUCAAAAACCAAAAUCAAUCAUACCCAGAAACAAAAAUUAAACAAAAUCAUACCUAUAAACAGAAAUCAAACAAAAUCAUACACAGAAACCAAAAUCAAUCAUACCCAGAAACAAAACUAAAAAAAAUCAUACCCAUAGUAACCAAAAUCAAAAUCAAGCAUACCCAUAAACUAAUAGUACCUUAUGAAUCUUCAGACGAAGAUUCGCAGAAGAAGAAGAGGUGGAAUCGUAGUGAAAUCAGAGAAGAGACAAUAUCGCAGGAAUUAGGCUUCCAUUGAGAUUGAAGAGGUGGAGAGUGAGCUCCGAUUGAGAUUGAAGAGCUUCGUUGAGAUUGAAGAGCUUCGAUUUAUGCAUGUGGACCUUCGAUUGAAGAUGUGAAGAGUGAAAUUAGGGUUUAGAGUGA
This 1472-nucleotide long non-coding RNA is filed under the name Medicago truncatula (barrel medic). RNAcentral's name for it is "long non-coding RNA (MTRU_LNC001638)". The record is from RNAcentral. Lineage: Eukaryota; Viridiplantae; Streptophyta; Magnoliopsida; Fabales; Fabaceae.